AUUGAACGCUGGCGGUAUGCUUAAGACAUGCAAGUCGUGCGGUAGGGGCUUCGGCCCUGAGAGCGGCGGACGGGUGAGUAACGCGUGGGAAUCUGCCUGCUAGUGGGGGAUAGCCCGGAGAAAUCCGGAUUAAUACCGCAUACGCCCUAAGGGGAAAGCCGCAAGGCGCUAGUAGAUGAGCUCGCGUAAGAUUAGCUAGUUGGUGAGGUAAAGGCUCACCAAGGCGACGAUCUUUAGCUGGUCUGAGAGGAUGGCCAGCCACAUCGGGACUGAGACACGGCCCGGACUCCUACGGGAGGCAGCAGUCGGGAAUAUUGGACAAUGGGCGCAAGCCUGAUCCAGCAAUACCGCGUGUGUGAAGAAGGCCUGCGGGUUGUAAAGCACUUUCAGUUGGGAAGAUAAUGACGUUACCAACAGAAGAAGCACCGGCUAACUCCGUGCCAGCAGCCGCGGUAAGGCGUAUGUGU
Molecule: ribosomal RNA, 467 nt
Filed under: uncultured bacterium
Lineage: Bacteria
Description: bacterial SSU rRNA
Rfam family: Bacterial small subunit ribosomal RNA
Source: RNAcentral